This 433-nucleotide ribosomal RNA is filed under the name uncultured bacterium. Its description in RNAcentral is "partial 16S ribosomal RNA". It matches the Rfam family "Bacterial small subunit ribosomal RNA", at positions 29 to 507 of the family's 1533-position model. The record is from RNAcentral.
AACGAACGCUGGCGGCAUGCCUAACACAUGCAAGUCGAACGAGACCUUCGGGUCUAGUGGCGCACGGGUGCGUAACGCGUGGGAACCUGCCCUUAGGUUCGGAAUAACUCCCCGAAAGGGGUGCUAAUACCGGCUAAUGUCUUCGGACCAAAGAUUUAUCGCCUUUGGAUGGGCCCGCGUUGGAUUAGCUAGUUGGUAGGGUAAAAGCCUACCAAGGCGACGAUCCAUAGCUGGUCUGAGAGGAUGAUCAGCCACACUGGGACUGAGACACGGCCCAGACUCCUACGGGAGGCAGCAGUGGGGAAUAUAGGACAAUGGGCGAAAGCCUGAUCCAGCAAUGCCGCGUGAGUGAUGAAGGCCUUAGGGUUGUAAAGCUCUUUUACCCGGGAUGAUAAUGACAGUACCGGGAGAAUAAGCUCCGGCUAACUCCGUG